GACGAACGCUGGCGGCGUGCUUAACACAUGCAAGUCGAACGGAAAGGCCCUGCUUUUGUGGGGUGCUCGAGUGGCGAACGGGUGAGUAACACGUGAGUAACCUGCCCUUGACUUUGGGAUAACUUCAGGAAACUGGGGCUAAUACCGGAUAGGAGCUCCUGCUGCAGGGUGGGGGUUGGAAAGUUUCGGCGGUUGGGGAUGGACUCGCGGCCUAUCAGCUUGUUGGUGGGGUAGUGGCUUACCAAGGCUUUGACGGGUAGCCGGCCUGAGAGGGUGACCGGCCACAUUGGGACUGAGAUACGGCCCAGACUCCUACGGGAGGCAGCAGUGGGGAAUAUUGCACAAUGGGCGGAAGCCUGAUGCAGCAACGCCGCGUGCGGGAUGACGGCCUUCGGGUUGUAAACCGCUUUCGCCUGUGACGAAGCGUGAGUGACGGUAAUGGGUAAAGAAGCACCGGCUAACUACGUG
RNAcentral lists this ribosomal RNA (468 nucleotides) under uncultured bacterium. RNAcentral's name for it is "partial 16S ribosomal RNA". It matches the Rfam family "Bacterial small subunit ribosomal RNA", at positions 28 to 507 of the family's 1533-position model. The record is from RNAcentral.